CCUACGGGUGGCAGCAGUGGGGAAUAUUGGGCAAUGGGCGAAAGCCUGACCCAGCAACGCCGCGUGAAGGAAGAAGGCUUUCGGGUUGUAAACUUCUUUUGACAGGGAAGAGCAGAAGACGGUACCUGUCGAAUAAGCCACGGCUAACUACGUGCCAGCAGCCGCGGUAAUACGUAGGUGGCAAGCGUUGUCCGGAUUUACUGGGUGUAAAGGGCGUGUAGCCGGGCUGACAAGUCAGAGGUGAAAUCCUGGGGCUCAACCCCCGAACUGCAUUUGAAACUGUAAGACUUGAGUGUCUGAGAGGCAGGCGGAAUUCGUAGUGUAGCGAUGAAAUGCAUAGAUAUUAAGCAGAACUCCGAUGGCGAAGGCAGCCUACUGAGCGACAACUGACAGUGAGGCACGAAAGCGUGGGGAUCAAACAGGAUUAGAUACCCUAGUAGUC
RNAcentral lists this ribosomal RNA (442 nucleotides) under uncultured bacterium. RNAcentral describes it as "partial 16S ribosomal RNA". It matches the Rfam family "Bacterial small subunit ribosomal RNA", at positions 338 to 795 of the family's 1533-position model. The record is from RNAcentral.